UGCAAGCAUGGGAAAAAAAUAAUACGGUACCAGCCGUCAAAGCAUUGUUGGAGUUGCACAGCAGAUAGGGUGGCCCCAAAAAAUUCUUGCACCAGGGCUAUUUCUGAUUUUAUCCGUCACUGCGUUGGGGUGGAAGGCUUGAUUGCAUGCCAGAGAGUGAGGGGGGAGGUGAUGGCGGCAGGGUCAAGGGGACCCAAAGCAAAUGC
Pelobates cultripes (western spadefoot toad) is the source of this 206-nucleotide non-coding RNA. Lineage: Eukaryota; Metazoa; Chordata; Amphibia; Anura; Pelobatidae. The record is from the annotation of a GenBank genome assembly.